GCCGGACCUGACUGCUAUCGGAUUGAUACUAAGCCAUGCGAGUCAUUGUAGCAAUACAAGGCAUACGGCUCAGUAACGCGUAGUCAACCUAACCUAUGGACGGGAAUAACCUCGGGAAACUGAGAAUAAUGCCCGAUAGAACAUUAUACCUGGAAUGGUUUAUGUUCCAAAUGAUUUAUCGCCGUAGGAUGGGACUGCGGCCUAUCAGUUUGUUGGUGAGGUAAUGGCCCACCAAGACUAUUACAGGUACGGGCUCUGAGAGGAGUAGCCCGGAGAUGGGUACUGAGACACGGACCCAGGCCCUAUGGGGCGCAGCAGGCGAGAAAACUUUGCAAUGUGCGAAAGCACGACAAGGUUAAUCCGAGUGAUUUCUGCUAAAGAAAUCUUUUGUUAGUCCUAGAAGCACUAACGAAUAAGGGGUGGGCAAGUUCUGGUGUCAGCCGCCGCGGUAAAACCAGCACCUCAAGUGGUCAGGAUGAUUAUUGGGCCUAAAGCAUCCGUAGCCGGCUCUGUAAGUUUUCGGUUAAAUCUGUACGCUUAACGUACAGGCCGCCGGGAAUACUGCAAAGCUAGGGAGUGGGAGAAGUAGACGGUACUCGGUAGGAAGUGGUAAAAUGCUUUGAUCUAUCGAUGACCACCUGUGGCGAAGGCGGUCUACUAGAACACGUCCGACGGUGAGGGAUGAAAGCUGGGGGAGCAAACCGGAUUAGAUACCCGGGUAGUCCCAGCUGUAAACUAUGCAAACUCAGUGAUGCAUUGGCUUGUGGCCAAUGCAGUGCUGCAGGGAAGCCGUUAAGUUUGCCGCCUGGGAAGUACGUACGCAAGUAUGAAACUUAAAGGAAUUGGCGGGGGAGCACCACAAGGGGUGAAGCCUGCGGUUCAAUUGGAUUCAACGCCGGG
RNAcentral lists this ribosomal RNA (900 nucleotides) under uncultured archaeon. RNAcentral's name for it is "bacterial SSU rRNA". It matches the Rfam family "Archaeal small subunit ribosomal RNA", at positions 16 to 922 of the family's 1478-position model. The record is from RNAcentral.